Molecule: ribosomal RNA, 332 nt
Filed under: uncultured bacterium
Lineage: Bacteria
Description: bacterial SSU rRNA
Rfam family: Bacterial small subunit ribosomal RNA
Source: RNAcentral
GAGUUUGAUCCUGGCUCAGGACGAACGCUGGCGGCGUGCCUAACACAUGCAAGUUGAGCGGAGAUAUGGAGAGCUUGCUCUUUAUAUUUAGCAGCGAACGGGUGAGUAACACGUGAGGAACCUGCCUCGGAGUGGGGAAUAACACAACGAAAGCUGUGCUAAUACCGCAUGAUGCAGCUGGGUCGCAUGACUCUGGCUGCCAAAGAUUUAUCGCUCUGAGAUGGCCUCGCGUCUGAUUAGCUGGUUGGCGGGUAACGGCCCACCAAGGCGACGAUCAGUAGCCGGACUGAGAGGUUGGCCGGCCACAUUGGGACUGAGACACGGCCCAGACU